Molecule: long non-coding RNA, 203 nt
Filed under: Salvia miltiorrhiza (redroot sage)
Lineage: Eukaryota; Viridiplantae; Streptophyta; Magnoliopsida; Lamiales; Lamiaceae
Description: long non-coding RNA (SMIL_LNC013888)
Source: RNAcentral
UUUGCUCCUAAGGUCUGUAUUAUUAAAAUCUAGUUGGUGCUUGAUUGAUUAAAGCUUCAUUGCAAAUUUAAACAUAGAUGAUAGAUUUUAAAAGCCAUCAACAAUUGAAAUAAGUUUUGAACAAUUGAGUGCUUAUUUUGACAUAAUUUAUUUGCGGCUCAACUUGCCUCUAAUCAACUCUGAACGAUUGUCUAACGGCUCAA